GUCGAGCUCAGUAGCGAGGGCUUGUGACCUAUGUGGGGACAAUAAGAUGGUGGAACACUGGCCCGGGCCCACAGGUCGGAUCUGUUGUGGCAUGUUCUGGGCUGCCCGGUCCAAGCCGAGAGUGAUCCAUGUGUGCUGAGCGAAGGCUUGGCUCAGGCGGUUCCUAAAGAGGAGGGCAAUGCGUGAGGCUGGUUUCACAGAGCAGCGAUCACCUCCCUCUCUCGACAGUGGACGGAUAACAGCUCAAAGCCACUCAGAUCCAGCAUGGUCUGGUGGCUCGUACCCAGCUGAACCACCAUCUUU
Molecule: signal recognition particle RNA, 303 nt
Filed under: Brassica napus (rape)
Lineage: Eukaryota; Viridiplantae; Streptophyta; Magnoliopsida; Brassicales; Brassicaceae
Description: SRP RNA Plant_SRP
Rfam family: Plant signal recognition particle RNA
Source: Rfam by way of RNAcentral